UUAUCUUAAGAACAUGGUUAACUCUCGUUAUAAAGGUUUAUUCUCAGAUGAUAUGAAUUGGUUCCAAACACCCUUCACUUUUACCACCCUUGAUCAACAAGUAUUUGAUAAUCUUAGUGCUAAUUUUGUUUAGACAAUCUAGUUUUUGCGAAGUCCGUUAUUAGGGAAGGCAUCUUGGAGUCCCUCUUAUCGGGCGAGAUCCUAAGAGAUCUAACAACCAAGACCUUAUCGACAAAGUUAAGUCCAAGCUUUCUCUUUGGAAAACAUCCGAACUUUCAUUUGCAGGGAGGGUGACUCUCUCUAAAGGCGGUUAUUGAGGAAAUUCCAAUUUACCAUAUGGUUGACUAGUGCCAUUCUUAGUGGCAUCUGCCUUGUCCAGAGAUUGUUUCCAACACACUGAUUCACGACUAGCUGAUCGCAAGCGAUCACUAAAUCAAUCCCCAAUAUAUCAGUGGUUGUCCCAGCAAAGAGGCAUGUGUUUCCCUAGAGACUGGAAGUCAACUGUCGUUUGACGAUGUCAGCCAGAUUGACCCCAAUUUUCAGUCUUCUCAGAGUCUUUUUCAGUUGUCUGGCACUUGUCAUUUUAGCUUCAUUCUUGCCUCAGGGCCUAACACCUCUUCGUCAUUGUUGACUUCCUCACUAAGCUCUGGCUAUAAGCGAGCGUAGAAGUCCCCUUAGUUUACUUUGACAACGCCUUGGGGUUUAGGUGCAACUUCUGAUAUUCUCGAGCUACUUGGCUUGUUGAUGACCUUGAGUUUUUCUUGUAUCUUUUGAUUUUUAGAUAGUUCAUAAAGCAUACCAGUUAUGCCUUGAGAUCACCAUCAAUUGUGCUACUUCAUCAUUCACAGCAUGGUAGCUCAUGUUCAGAUGAACUGACAAAGAUACUGCAACAUUCAGCGAGUGUGAGCCGGUUGAUGAUACAAUUGAAGAUCAAAUUGAAAUCAAUCACCAAGAAUGGAUUUCACGGUUUUCCUCAUUUGUUUCUUCCUAAAGGUCACCAGAAGCUCGACGUACCCCCAAGGUCGGCUAACUGUUUCUUCCUAUUAGGAUUUCAUGGCUUAGGCGUAGAUUUUUGACCUCUCUGUGAUGAGGACUGAGGAGCAUAUCUAACCGUUUCUGCGGGGGCUGAUGCCAUUCGUCGAGAUGUCGCUGCUAUUCAAGCUGAGUGGUGAUGAUGGCAGAUAUCUGCUAUUGGUUUUCCUCAAUGCAAGCAAUCCGUUGAUUGUGUUUGGCUAUCAUUUGUGAUUGUUUUUUAACCAAUGUGAUUAGGUUGUGGCGUAUAGACUCGCCUUCUAGACCACCACGUUGAUCCUUGAGCAGAGAGACGAUUGGCAAGGACGACGUUGUGGUGUCCUCAGCAAACAUAAGGGAAGAUGAACCACGACGGGACAACCUUUCUAUGUAGAACAGUACCGCGCUUUGCACCGGCCGUCUCAGAUCUAUAACAAAGGGUUUUGUGGUGAGAUUGUAGGAAUCUGUCCUCAAACGGCACCAAUGAUUCAAAAUGAAUCUAGACCAACGAUUGGAGUUGAGGUCAUGCAGCAGAGGAUGAUGGUAACUCUUCGACGGGAGUGGUGUACCUACAAGCAGUCUAAUGAUCAAUUUAGUUCACGAUCUAGUGACUGAAAGGUUUUAUGAUUAGAAGUGAAUAUACCAUUCUCCUGUGUAGGUGACCUUCAAGGUUAUAGGGUGUAAGCCAAUUGAAGGAAUCCGGUGUGAUCUAUGAAUCAACAUUUGAUCUUCAUCGCAUGGAGCUGAUAACAUCAACUGAUCCGCUAAUGUAUGCUGUCAGUGCAGUGCAGCCCCAUAGCAUGUUUCUUAUUGAUCUAGUCCGUUGACGGAAUGGGCUCAGGCCUAAUCUGGAACACUUCAGUUUGAAGACAAAAUUACUAUUAUAAUUAUAAAUAGACUAAAAAUAAUUUACCAAAUGCAUGUUUAAAUUGAUGGUGACAUUGAAAGAGAAACAAUGAAGCACCGAGAUUUUGGCAAAAGCUACAUUUUGGAGUUUCAUAAAAUCAUGUCGCUAAACUCACCGGGCACAGGUAAUUCAAACCUCUAUUAAAUAUAUGAUCAAAGUUCAUUUUCUGUUGACAAUGUAAGGUUAGCACCAAAA
Molecule: long non-coding RNA, 2113 nt
Filed under: Medicago truncatula (barrel medic)
Lineage: Eukaryota; Viridiplantae; Streptophyta; Magnoliopsida; Fabales; Fabaceae
Description: long non-coding RNA (MTRU_LNC005474)
Source: RNAcentral